CACGUAGGGGGCAAGCGUUGUCCGGAUUUAUUGGGCGUAAAGAGCUCGUAGGCGGCUCGGUAAGUCGGGUGUGAAACCUCCAGGCUCAACCUGGAGACGCCACCUGAUACUGCUGUGGCUAGAGUCCGGUAGGGGAGUGUGGAACUCCUGGUGUAGCGGUGAAAUGCGCAGAUAUCAGGAAGAACACCAGCGGCGAAGGCGAGUCCCUGGACAACUCCUGGCACUGAGGCACGAAAGCUAGGGGAGCAAACAGG
Molecule: ribosomal RNA, 254 nt
Filed under: uncultured bacterium
Lineage: Bacteria
Description: partial 16S ribosomal RNA
Rfam family: Bacterial small subunit ribosomal RNA
Source: RNAcentral